UACGUAGGGGGCAAGCGUUGUCCGGAAUUAUUGGGCGUAAAGAGCGUGUAGGCGGUCCGGUAAGUCAGCUGUGAAAGUCAAGGGCUCAACCCUUGAAUGCCGGUGGAUACUGUCGGGCUAGAGUCCGGAAGGGGCGAGUGGAAUUCCUGGUGUAGCGGUGAAAUGCGCAGAUAUCGGGAGGAACACCGGUGGCGAAGGCGGCGACCUGGGUCGACACUGACGCUGAGGCGCGAAAGCGUGGGGAGCAAACAGG
This 253-nucleotide ribosomal RNA is filed under the name uncultured bacterium. Its description in RNAcentral is "partial 16S ribosomal RNA". It matches the Rfam family "Bacterial small subunit ribosomal RNA", at positions 524 to 776 of the family's 1533-position model. The record is from RNAcentral.